UUAGAUUUCUCAUAGAGAACUCUUGGUUCUUUGAGAAGAUGUUUGUGGUUGAAUCCCCCAAGAAUCUAUAGAACCCAGUUUGAGAAAAGACAACUUAGAAGAAUGUAAGACUUCAAGGAAAGUGCUUAACAAAUAAAGAUUUAAGUGAAGAAAAAUAGUAUAGCAUAUAUGAAUGUUUGGUUGGCUAAUUAACUUAUUAACCUAUUAUUAUGGCAAAAGACCAUUGAGAUUUUGUUAAAUAGGCUUUCUUAUCUGAAACAUAAAUUCCAAUCAAAGGAAUUUGUGGCUAUUUAUUCCUGCAUUGUCCUUAAUAGGACACAGUGUUAUUGAUAGGAAACAGUGUUAUUCUCUUUAAGAUGAUAAGAAAAGUCAGGGUCAACAUUGCUAGACAGGUAGCUAUAGUUUGUAUGGGAAACAAAAGGAUUGAGAAGACAUUCUAGACUUUGAGGCUUGUGGAAAGAGAGAUGAGGGAAACCAAAGCUUUCAAGGCAGAAAAGCAGACAAAGAUAUAAAGAAUACUCUUCCAUAUUUUCAGACAACUAGUCUUUGAUGCAAUAUUUCAUGCCUUGCUUACAUUUCAGUUGGUAAAAACCGUAUAUAUAUUUACCCUCAACACUAGUGAAGAAUAUGUUGUUUUCUUAAUAACUUGCUCUAGUGCAAUUGCCCUACCAUCUUAACAUUAUUCUGUAUUCAUCUGACUGUACUACUUGAAAAGAAUACACAAUCAGAAUCAAGCAUUAAGAAGUACUGCAAAUUGACAUAUUUCAUAGACUAUAUGUAAAUUGAAAUUCCCUAAGAUCACCUGCUUGUUUUCCCAAAAAGUCAUUUCAAUGGCAAUCCCCAAAGUCUAGGAAAUUACUCAGUCUCAAAGAAUUCAGCCACUACUUCUGUGUCUCUUAAAUAGUCCCUGAAUUUGGGAUCUUGAGGAUCAGGGAGUGUCACACACAUAACCAGAAUUUCUGCAGGUGUCUUUAACUUGCUGAUUUGACUGUUUGCAUGUUUUACAUUUGUUUAAGAAAGCCCAGCUUUGCACUUAUAAUAGUCUAUAAUUAUCCCUACAAAUCCAACACUCUCAUUUCUCAGAUGUCCAGGUUACAUAACUUUGAUUCCAAUGUACCCUUUUUAAGAAAAAUCAGUAUUGCUUA
This 1145-nucleotide long non-coding RNA is filed under the name Homo sapiens (human). RNAcentral's name for it is "HSALNT0150761". Lineage: Eukaryota; Metazoa; Chordata; Mammalia; Primates; Hominidae. The record is from RNAcentral.